GGCGAAUCUCCUGUGACACCGGUGCUGUGAACAGAUUCUGGAAUGUAUGGCAAAAUUUACGUACGAUAGAAAAGGCGCUGAAUGUAUUAUACAGCACUGGCACUAUCCUGUUAUUACGCACCAAACACUCGAACAGUAUUAGAGAUACUGUUCGGGGAAAAUAUCGCAAAUCAACAAGCAGAACUCAAGACGGGCAAAAUUAGUAAGUCAGUUUUCAUCAGUAUUUUUUGUAUAUUCG
Paramuricea clavata is the source of this 238-nucleotide non-coding RNA. Lineage: Eukaryota; Metazoa; Cnidaria; Anthozoa; Malacalcyonacea; Plexauridae. The record is from the annotation of a GenBank genome assembly.